RNAcentral lists this transfer RNA (90 nucleotides) under Rhodococcus phage NiceHouse. Its description in RNAcentral is "tRNA-Ser". It matches the Rfam family "tRNA". From Rfam's summary of the family: Transfer RNA (tRNA) molecules are approximately 80 nucleotides in length. The record is from RNAcentral. Lineage: Duplodnaviria; Heunggongvirae; Uroviricota; Caudoviricetes.
GGAAGAUUGGCUGAGAGGCUUAAGGCACUGGUUUGCUAAACCAGCGUGGGGCUUAUGCCCCACCAAGGGUUCGAAUCCCUUAUCUUCCGC